RNAcentral lists this microRNA precursor (62 nucleotides) under Triops cancriformis. Its description in RNAcentral is "microRNA tcf-mir-10294 precursor". The record is from miRBase by way of RNAcentral. Lineage: Eukaryota; Metazoa; Arthropoda; Branchiopoda; Notostraca; Triopsidae.
CUGUUGAUCAUUUGGCCAAUCCUGCUUACUCGUGAAAGCACUUGGUUAUAUGAUUGACAGCU